UUAAUGUGUUGUGUUUGUGAG
This 21-nucleotide microRNA is filed under the name Glycine max (soybean). Its description in RNAcentral is "gma-miR2108b". Lineage: Eukaryota; Viridiplantae; Streptophyta; Magnoliopsida; Fabales; Fabaceae. The record is from miRBase by way of RNAcentral.